UCCACAGCCUUGCUAAUGAGUACGACAUUCCUUCUAAUAUUCUUGUUUGUGGCAAAGCUGUUGGUCAUCACCCUUAAUAUGAUCCACCGUCUCUUUAAUACAUGAUCAGUCAUGCUGGUAUGACUGCAAGAGUGAGCAGAGAGAUUAAAAGAAGAGAAAAGUGUGCGGAUUCUUUAUUUGUACAUCUUAGAAAUGUUUAAAUGGAGUAUAUCCAUAGACAUGUAUGGUUAAAAUGUUAUGGUGUUAGCCUGAAAUGCUUUUUACUCAAUUUUUCAAAGGUUUUAUAAAUUCAGUCCCUGAUACAUGAUGCCUGCUGCUUUCUGUUUCAUGUUCAUGCUUGUGGUUCGGUUAUGUAAAUUGUGAAACAAGUAUCCAAAAUUAUGACCGUCUUUAAUUGGGAUUGUCAUUUUGAGUUAAUAUGAAUUUAGUCCAUUUAAAUCAUAUAGCAAACUGACAUGAACUAACUAUAUUGGAACAAGUGUUAAAAAUUUUUAUUGUACAUUUUUACGUCAGCCCUUAAACAGUGAACAAAAAUCAUGAUAUGCUUCAAAUUGUAAGUUUACUUGUGCCAUUACUACUAUUGCAAAAUUCAAAGAGCCCUAGCGUGGUAAUUAUUCGAUUGAUUAUAUAUGCUGGCCACUUAUGACCUGCCAAAUUUCAGAUUUUAGCUUUCACUUGCACAUAUAAAGAAGUGCUACACCAACAAAAUCAUUAGUUGCUUUCAAGCAUCAAAACUCACCAUGAUCAACAAUGGUUAGGCGCUUCUCAAAUCGUUGCUGCUGAAACGACAACUAUUUGAUUGCGAAACAAAUAUUGCUGAAAUCUGUCAAAGAAUUUGUCUCAGACUGUUGAUAAUAAAGAUGAAUAUAAAUGAAAAUAAAAUAAAAUAAAAAUAAAGUAUGAGUCGUGUAUAUACAAAUAAGACUGAAAAAAUUCUAGUAUGAUCACGAACUUUGAAAACGAGUGCCCAGAAAGAAU
Molecule: long non-coding RNA, 978 nt
Filed under: Citrus sinensis (sweet orange)
Lineage: Eukaryota; Viridiplantae; Streptophyta; Magnoliopsida; Sapindales; Rutaceae
Description: long non-coding RNA (CSIN_LNC000427)
Source: RNAcentral